AAUCCGAUAAGGGGCU
Molecule: transfer RNA, 16 nt
Filed under: Tribulus cistoides (Jamaican feverplant)
Lineage: Eukaryota; Viridiplantae; Streptophyta; Magnoliopsida; Zygophyllales; Zygophyllaceae
Also listed under: 4 other names
Description: partial tRNA-Thr
Source: RNAcentral